This 1261-nucleotide ribosomal RNA is filed under the name Staphylococcus aureus M0505. Its description in RNAcentral is "bacterial LSU rRNA". It matches the Rfam family "Bacterial large subunit ribosomal RNA", at positions 997 to 2259 of the family's 2925-position model. The record is from RNAcentral. Lineage: Bacteria; Bacillati; Bacillota; Bacilli; Caryophanales; Staphylococcaceae.
GAUAAGGUCCGUGUUCGAAAGGGAAACAGCCCAGACCACCAGCUAAGGUCCCAAAAUAUAUGUUAAGUGGAAAAGGAUGUGGCGUUGCCCAGACAACUAGGAUGUUGGCUUAGAAGCAGCCAUCAUUUAAAGAGUGCGUAAUAGCUCACUAGUCGAGUGACACUGCGCCGAAAAUGUACCGGGGCUAAACAUAUUACCGAAGCUGUGGAUUGUCCUUUGGACAAUGGUAGGAGAGCGUUCUAAGGGCGUUGAAGCAUGAUCGUAAGGACAUGUGGAGCGCUUAGAAGUGAGAAUGCCGGUGUGAGUAGCGAAAGACGGGUGAGAAUCCCGUCCACCGAUUGACUAAGGUUUCCAGAGGAAGGCUCGUCCGCUCUGGGUUAGUCGGGUCCUAAGCUGAGGCCGACAGGCGUAGGCGAUGGAUAACAGGUUGAUAUUCCUGUACCACCUAUAAUCGUUUUAAUCGAUGGGGGGACGCAGUAGGAUAGGCGAAGCGUGCGAUUGGAUUGCACGUCUAAGCAGUAAGGCUGAGUAUUAGGCAAAUCCGGUACUCGUUAAGGCUGAGCUGUGAUGGGGAGAAGACAUUGUGUCUUCGAGUCGUUGAUUUCACACUGCCGAGAAAAGCCUCUAGAUAGAAAAUAGGUGCCCGUACCGCAAACCGACACAGGUAGUCAAGAUGAGAAUUCUAAGGUGAGCGAGCGAACUCUCGUUAAGGAACUCGGCAAAAUGACCCCGUAACUUCGGGAGAAGGGGUGCUCUUUAGGGUUAACGCCCAGAAGAGCCGCAGUGAAUAGGCCCAAGCGACUGUUUAUCAAAAACACAGGUCUCUGCUAAACCGUAAGGUGAUGUAUAGGGGCUGACGCCUGCCCGGUGCUGGAAGGUUAAGAGGAGUGGUUAGCUUCUGCGAAGCUACGAAUCGAAGCCCCAGUAAACGGCGGCCGUAACUAUAACGGUCCUAAGGUAGCGAAAUUCCUUGUCGGGUAAGUUCCGACCCGCACGAAAGGCGUAACGAUUUGGGCACUGUCUCAACGAGAGACUCGGUGAAAUCAUAGUACCUGUGAAGAUGCAGGUUACCCGCGACAGGACGGAAAGACCCCGUGGAGCUUUACUGUAGCCUGAUAUUGAAAUUCGGCACAGCUUGUACAGGAUAGGUAGGAGCCUUUGAAACGUGAGCGCUAGCUUACGUGGAGGCGCUGGUGGGAUACUACCCUAGCUGUGUUGGCUUUCUAACCCGCACCACUUAUCGUGGUGGGAGACAGUGUCA